Long non-coding RNA from Anolis carolinensis (green anole), 2072 nucleotides. RefSeq lists it as uncharacterized. Lineage: Eukaryota; Metazoa; Chordata; Lepidosauria; Squamata; Anolidae. The record is from RefSeq and is a predicted model, not a curated record. The transcript has 4 exons.
UAACCCUGAACAGAGCAGGCAGGGUGCAAAUGUUUGUGAUUACAAAUGAAAUGUCAAAAUAUUUGCAUACUUCUGUUUAAUUUCCUUUCAUAAACAGAAAUUAUUUCACACAAAAUUCAGUGGUAUAAUGAAAAAACAACAAUAUUGUCUACUGAAGGAAAGGCAGAAAUGUGACAUAAUUUGACUAUAACAUGCCAGGAGGACUCUGACAUGAAUAAAGACAUAAGCCCACUGGUGGUGUGAGAACAUACUGGCACUCCUCCAAUAGGGACAUGCUAGAAAUUAUUCUAUAUACUCAUGCAUAAGUAAGAAAUGUUAUUCAAAAAAUCAACCAGCAAAACCUGGAUCAGCUUGACUAUGGGUCAAUAUGAAUACUGUACUAUAACUUUUUUUUUAAAAAAAGAGGAGCCAUCCCCUUCUCUUAGUCAAGUUGAUAAAGGUAAAAGCGUAGUCCAUCCCAGGAGAACCUAAAAGGAGCACUACUCUCUUCACAGUCGUGGCAUCUCUGGCCUUUUUGAGUACUUGGGUUGGGAAAUGAUAAUGGAGAUGGCCUGGAGCAACUGGCUCACUGGGGCAGCAUUGAUAUUUUCUCCUCUCCAUGGAAUGACCCAUGACAUCCACGGGUCACAUUAAAAUCCAUAAUUUGGGACCCAAAAUGUGUCAUUGGCUUAUACAUGAGUAUAUACAAUACAUUCUAAGCAGAUAUCUUAAUAUCCCAAUUCAGCACUCUUCAUUCGUAUGCCCUUCCAAUGUGUUCGACCAAUAGAAAAAAGCCUUAAUCUACUGGAACACAAAUUUAAGCUUAUGUCCAGGAUAUACUUCAGCAUUGUAGACUGAUGCAUUCUUUCAUUAUUAUUCACACAAAAAUGUUUGUUUACAAGUUUAUGGCCUAGAAUUAAACUCCAUUAAUAUCUUAAUCAUUCUAAGAACAUAGAGGGAUACAUAUGUUUUUAUGAACUGACAAAUUGGGAGCGUGUUGAACAACAAAAAUGAGUACAACAGUGCAAAGCUUCAAAUGCUUAGUUUUGGGGGGCUAUAAUUCCAUGAUCUACCAUUCAGUACAGUGAAAGUGGCCAUGCUGACCAGAGGAUUUGGAGAGAUGUAGUUCCAAAAUGUAUUCAGAUACAGACAUUUUAAAUCCUGUAUAAUUAAUAUUUAUCAAAAAUAUUGAAUAUUAAAUUAAGUUAUACUUUGGAUAUGAGAUAUUUCAAAUGAAAAAAAAGGCCAGAAGAGAGACACAGCAACAUAUACAGUGAAAGGGUGGGAUAAAGCUAAUGGGCAUCAUCCAGGCCCUAUGGGAGUUUUCAGUAUGUAUUUAUUGAGUUCUGUUCCUAAAAUAGAUUUAUACAUGCACAAAGAAGGAAAAAUUAAAGCACUGCUAUUUUCUUUGGGUAUGUGUGUGUAUUUCAAAAAUCUGAAUAAACUAUCAUAAAUGGUACUUCUACACAGGUUUUUAUGAGUCUUGAAGAACACAUGUGCUUAAUGUUCUGCCAUUUCAAAUGGUAUGUCUACUACUGUUAUUUUGAUCACAAUGUCCCCAUACUUGUUUGUAGAUCUUCCAGGACAUUUCCUAUCCACCUAGACUGUCACUGAAAGAAGAAGGACUUAAAAGAGCUGGACACCAAUACACGCAAACAUGAACUGGAGCAGAGUUGUAACUAUCAUGAUAUUACCAAUAGUUCGAAUUGCAACAAAGACACACUGAACAACAUGCUGCGGUGAAAGAAAAGAAAGAAAAGGAGAAUGUAUACAACUGGCAAAGAAAAUUCAGACAGAAACCUUAAGUCCUUUUGCUCUGUUGAUUGCCCUUAAAGGCCUUAAGACCCUUAAAACUCUCAGAAUCUUCACAACUGAAAUAGCACUUGAUCUAGACGAAAAAUAGAAGAAAAAAACAUUAGCUUGUUAUGACUCAAUUUUACUCAUCUACUAUGGUGAAACUACUUCCCAUUUUGAUGGCCACAUUUAAAAACAAUCCAGCAUGCAGAUCCUUUUGUGGAGUCUAUUUUUCUUACGUUGUUUCGAAAAGAAUGACUGCGAAUGGGGUCCUCAGCUGCAAGGGAAGCACUGCUAAG